AUUGAACGCUGGCGGCAGGCCUAACACAUGCAAGUCGGACGGUAGCACAGAGAGCUUGCUCUCGGGUGACGAGUGGCGGACGGGUGAGUAAUGUCUGGGGAUCUGCCCGAUAGAGGGGGAUAACCACUGGAAACGGUGGCUAAUACCGCAUAACGUCGCAAGACCGAAGAGGGGGACCUUCGGGCCUCUCACUAUCGGAUGAACCCAGAUGGGAUUAGCUAGUAGGCGGGGUAAUGGCCCACCUAGGCGACGAUCCCUAGCUGGUCUGAGAGGCUGACCAGCCACACUGGAACUGAGACACGGUCCAGACUCCUACGGGAGGCAGCAGUGGGAAAUAUUGCACAAUGGGCGCAAGCCUGAUGCAACCAUGCCGCGUGUAUGAAGAAGGCCUUCGGGUUGUAAAGUACUUUCAGCGGGGAGGAAGGCGGUGCGGUUAAUAACCGCGCCGAUUGACGUUACCCGCAGAAGAAGCACCGGCUAACUCCGUGCCAGCCGCCGCCGUAA
This 504-nucleotide ribosomal RNA is filed under the name uncultured bacterium. Its description in RNAcentral is "partial 16S ribosomal RNA". It matches the Rfam family "Bacterial small subunit ribosomal RNA", at positions 29 to 523 of the family's 1533-position model. The record is from RNAcentral.